GUGAGGAAUAUUGCGCAAUGGAGGCAACUCUGACGCAGCCAUGUCGCGUGCAGGAAGAAGGCGCUACGCGUUGUAAACUGCUUUUAACCGGGAAGAAACCCCAGGACGUGUCCUGGGUUGACGGUACCGGAGGAAUAAGCACCGGCUAACUUCGUGCCAGCAGCCGCGGUAAUACGAAGGGUGCAAGCGUUAUCCGGAUUCAUUGGGUUUAAAGGGUGCGUAGGCGGAGCGUUAAGUCAGUGGUGAAAUCCUGCAGCUUAACUGUAGACUUGCCAUUGAUACUGGCGCUCUUGAGUGCGCUUGAAGUGGGCGGAAUGUGCCGUGUAGCGGUGAAAUGCUUAGAUAUGGCACAGAACACCAAUUGCGAAGGCAGCUCACUAAGGCGAUACUGACGCUGAGGCACGAAAGCGUGGGGAUCGAACAGGAUUAGAAACCCGGGUAGUCC
This 445-nucleotide ribosomal RNA is filed under the name uncultured bacterium. Its description in RNAcentral is "partial 16S ribosomal RNA". It matches the Rfam family "Bacterial small subunit ribosomal RNA", at positions 354 to 796 of the family's 1533-position model. The record is from RNAcentral.